AGUCUGACCUGCCCUAUGAAUAAUUUACUUUUAAAUGGCUGCGGUAAUUUGACCGUGCAAAGGUAGCAUAAUAAUUAGUUUUUUAAUUGGGAACUGGCAUGAAUGGUCGAACGAGAAAAGAACUGUCUCAAUUUAAUUUAAAUUAGAAUUUUAUUUUUAAGUAAAAAAGCUUAAAUGUAUUUAAAAGACGAGAAGACCCUAUAGAGUUUUAUAUUAUUAAGUAUUUUUAAAAGUUAAAGAAUUAUAGAUUUAAUUAUAUUUAAUGAUAUUUGGUUGGGGCAAUUAAAAAAUUAAAUAAAUUUUUUUUAAAUUUUAACAUUAAUGAAUGAUUAAGUGAUCCAUAAUUUAUGAUUAAAAGAUUAAAUUACCUUAGGGAUAACAGCGUAAUUUUUUUUAAGAGUUCUUAUCGAAAAAAAAGUUUGCGACCUCGAUGUUGGAUUAAAAUUAACUUUUGGCGUAGCAACUAAAAAAGUUAGGUCUGUUCGACCUUUAAAAUUUU
This 499-nucleotide ribosomal RNA is filed under the name Canthidium aurifex. RNAcentral describes it as "partial 16S ribosomal RNA". It matches the Rfam family "Bacterial large subunit ribosomal RNA", at positions 1851 to 2597 of the family's 2925-position model. Lineage: Eukaryota; Metazoa; Arthropoda; Insecta; Coleoptera; Scarabaeidae. The record is from RNAcentral.